This 492-nucleotide ribosomal RNA is filed under the name uncultured beta proteobacterium. Its description in RNAcentral is "bacterial SSU rRNA". It matches the Rfam family "Bacterial small subunit ribosomal RNA", at positions 8 to 495 of the family's 1533-position model. Lineage: Bacteria; Pseudomonadati; Pseudomonadota; Betaproteobacteria. The record is from RNAcentral.
AGAGUUUGAUCCUGGCUCAGAUUGAACGCUGGCGGAAUGCUUUACACAUGCAAGUCGAGCGGCAGCGCGGGGGCAACCCUGGCGGCGAGCGGCGAACGGGUGAGUAACACAUCGGAACGUGCCCUAUCGUGGGGGAUAACGAAUCGAAAGAUUCGCUAAUACCGCAUACGACCUGAGGGUGAAAGCGGGGGAUCGCAAGACCUCGCGCGAUUGGAGCGGCCGAUGUCGGAUUAGCUAGUUGGUGAGGUAAAGGCUCACCAAGGCGACGAUCCGUAGCUGGUCUGAGAGGACGACCAGCCACACUGGGACUGAGACACGGCCCAGACUCCUACGGGAGGCAGCAGUGGGGAAUUUUGGACAAUGGGGGCAACCCUGAUCCAGCCAUUCCGCGUGAGUGAAGAAGGCCUUCGGGUUGUAAAGCUCUUUCGGCAGGAACGAAACGGUGCGGGCUAAUACCCUGUAUCAAUGACGGUACCUGAAGAAGAAGCACCG